This 68-nucleotide transfer RNA is filed under the name Planctomycetota bacterium. RNAcentral describes it as "Planctomycetes bacterium (activated sludge metagenome) tRNA-Met". It matches the Rfam family "tRNA". Rfam says of the family: Transfer RNA (tRNA) molecules are approximately 80 nucleotides in length. Their secondary structure includes four short double-helical elements and three loops (D, anti-codon, and T loops). Lineage: Bacteria; Pseudomonadati; Planctomycetota. The record is from RNAcentral.
GCGGUGAGCUUCGGAAGCAGACGGGUUUCAUAAUCCCGUACAUGCCGGUUCGACUCCGGCCACCGCUA